AUUCCAGCUCCAAUAGCGUAUAUUAAAGUUGUUGCGGUUAAAAAGCUCGUAGUUGGAGUUCUGCCAGGUGGCGCUCGUCCGCCCAAGUGGUGUGUACAGGGCGUGCAUCUGGCCCUUUCAAGGGGAACGUGUCUGCACUUCAUUGUGUGGUGCGAGAUCCUUGACUUUUACUUUGAGGAAAUAAGAGUGUUCCAAGCAGGCUCUCGUCGUGCAUAGCUCAGCAUGGAAUAAUAGCAUUGGACUUCGUUUCUACGCUGUUGGUUGCAAGAAGCGAGGUAAUGAUGAAGAGGGAUAGUUGGGGGCAUUCGUAUUUAAUUGUCAGAGGUGGAAUUCUCGGAUUUGUUAAAGACUAACUUAUGCGAAAGCAUUUGCCAAGGAUGUUUUCAUUA
This 389-nucleotide ribosomal RNA is filed under the name Syndiniales sp. RNAcentral describes it as "partial small subunit ribosomal RNA". It matches the Rfam family "Eukaryotic small subunit ribosomal RNA", at positions 582 to 975 of the family's 1831-position model. Lineage: Eukaryota; Dinophyceae; Syndiniales. The record is from RNAcentral.